Molecule: ribosomal RNA, 1402 nt
Filed under: uncultured bacterium
Lineage: Bacteria
Description: 16S ribosomal RNA
Rfam family: Bacterial small subunit ribosomal RNA
Source: RNAcentral
AGAGUUUGAUCCUGGCUCAGGAUGAACGCUAGCGGCAGGCUUAACACAUGCAAGUCGAGGGGCAGCGGGGAGGAAGCUUGCUUUCUCCGCCGGCGACCGGCGCACGGGUGAGUAACACGUAUGCAACCUGCCCCUGUCAGGGGGACAACCCGCCGAAAGGCGGGCUAAACCCGCGUACAUGCCACCGGGGCAUCCCGGAGGCAGGAAAGGCUUCGGCCGGACAGGGAUGGGCAUGCGGCGCAUUAGGCAGUAGGCGGGGUAACGGCCCACCUAACCGACGAUGCGUAGGGGUUCUGAGAGGAAGGUCCCCCACACUGGUACUGAGACACGGACCAGACUCCUACGGGAGGCAGCAGUGAGGAAUAUUGGUCAAUGGUCGGGAGACUGAACCAGCCAAGCCGCGUGAGGGAGGAAGGUACAGAGUAUCGUAAACCUCUUUUGUCAGGGAACAAAGGCGGGGACGUGUCCCCGGAUGAGUGUACCUGAAGAAAAAGCAUCGGCUAACUCCGUGCCAGCAGCCGCGGUAAUACGGAGGAUGCGAGCGUUAUCCGGAUUUAUUGGGUUUAAAGGGUGCGCAGGCGGUCUGUUAAGUCAGCGGUCAAAGCCCGGGGCUCAACCCCGGCCCGCCGUUGAAACUGGCAGUCUCGAGUUGGAGAGAAGUAUGCGGAAUGCGCGGUGUAGCGGUGAAAUGCAUAGAUAUCGCGCAGAACUCCGAUUGCGAAGGCAGCAUGCCGGCUCCACACUGACGCUGAGGCACGAAAGCGUAGGUAUCGAACAGGAUUAGAUACCCUGGUAGUCCACGCAGUAAACGAUGAAUGCUGGCUGUCCGGGGGGACUGACCCCUGGGUGGCGAAGCGAAAGCGAUAAGCAUUCCACCUGGGGAGUACGCCGGCAACGGUGAAACUCAAAGGAAUUGACGGGGGCCCGCACAAGCGGAGGAACAUGUGGUUUAAUUCGAUGAUACGCGAGGAACCUUACCCGGGCUCAAACGGGGAGUGCCGCAGGCAGAGACGCCUGUUUCCCACGGGACACUCCCCGAGGUGCUGCAUGGUUGUCGUCAGCUCGUGCCGUGAGGUGUCGGCUUAAGUGCCAUAACGAGCGCAACCCCCGCGUGCAGUUGCUAACAGAUAACGCUGAGGACUCUGCACGGACUGCCGGCGCAAGCCGCGAGGAAGGCGGGGAUGACGUCAAAUCAGCACGGCCCUUACGUCCGGGGCGACACACGUGUUACAAUGGGUGGUACAGCGGGAAGCCAGGCGGCGACGCCGAGCGGAACCCGAAAUCCACUCUCAGUUCGGAUCGGAGUCUGCAACCCGACUCCGUGAAGCUGGAUUCGCUAGUAAUCGCGCAUCAGCCAUGGCGCGGUGAAUACGUUCCCGGGCCUUGCACACACCGCCCGUCA